RNAcentral lists this ribosomal RNA (331 nucleotides) under uncultured Zavarzinella sp. RNAcentral's name for it is "bacterial SSU rRNA". It matches the Rfam family "Bacterial small subunit ribosomal RNA", at positions 568 to 898 of the family's 1533-position model. The record is from RNAcentral. Lineage: Bacteria; Pseudomonadati; Planctomycetota; Planctomycetia; Gemmatales; Gemmataceae.
CGCGUAGGCGGGUACUCAAGUCUGUGGUGAAAUCCUCCGGCUCAACCGGAGAACUGCCAUGGAUACUGGGUGUCUCGAGGGUGGUAGGGGUAUGCGGAACUAUCGGUGGAGCGGUGAAAUGCGUUGAUAUCGAUAGGAACUCCGGUGGCGAAGGCGGCAUACUGGACCACAUCUGACGCUGAGGCGCGAAAGCCAGGGGAGCGAACGGGAUUAGAUACCCCGGUAGUCCUGGCCCUAAACGAUGGGUACUAGCUAGUAGGGUUCACAUGACUUUACUGGCGAAGCAAAAGUGAUAAGUACCCCGCCUGGGGAGUAUGGUCGCAAGGCUGAA